Girardinichthys multiradiatus is the source of this 385-nucleotide long non-coding RNA. RefSeq lists it as uncharacterized. The transcript has 3 exons. The record is from RefSeq and is a predicted model, not a curated record. Lineage: Eukaryota; Metazoa; Chordata; Actinopteri; Cyprinodontiformes; Goodeidae.
UCUGGAACAGCAGAGGCAACAACAAAUUCCUAAUCCAAAAACAGAUUUUUUCUUUUUUAUUAACAAAAGACCUUUUCACUAAAGAUAUACUUUGGGGUGUGCACUCUUAUUUUCCCUGAAGAUGAAGCUAAAAAUUGUCUUGGCUUUAAGAAUGAGCAACUCAACACUAAAGGAUGGGUUACCGCCAAUGUUCAGCUAGACCACUGAGGAAACCACUGGGGUUGAUUGUGCAGAAACAUGAAGUUUCUCAGUGCACAGAUGGUCCAGCUUUGACAAAAAGCUGUGUUCGUUGGCCUGGUGCCACAAGUGGCUAAAUACCCAUAUACCAAACAAACCUCAAUGGUGCUGACAGACAUCCUGUGAAUGCAAAUGAGUUGGAGGGGAG